GGCUUUCUUCGCGCGGGAGCUCGACCCGCGACUGCCGAGAUGACCGGGUUCGUCGACGCCCACCGCGACCAGUUCGGGGUCGAGCCGAUCUGCAAUGAGCUGCAGUUCGCCCCG
Regulatory RNA element from Streptomyces agglomeratus, 114 nucleotides. It matches the Rfam family "ALIL pseudoknot". The record is from Rfam. Lineage: Bacteria; Bacillati; Actinomycetota; Actinomycetes; Kitasatosporales; Streptomycetaceae.